Molecule: long non-coding RNA, 415 nt
Organism: Portunus trituberculatus (swimming crab)
Lineage: Eukaryota; Metazoa; Arthropoda; Malacostraca; Decapoda; Portunidae
Exons: 3
Source: RefSeq, a predicted model, not a curated record
UCCUUUUUUUUCUAAAGCAGGUCUGUCCUUUUUUCAUGUGUAGUGUCUGGCAACUCUGCCGUAGUCAGCCCGGCGGCCGGCCAGUUGACCGUGAGCCGUGCUUCUCUUGGCAGGACAAGGCGCUGGUCGUGAGGGACAGUGAGUGGUGGAGAUCAAGAUACCGAUAAUAGUGUUAUCUAUAGUAGCGAAGAGAAUAUUUUGUGUGUAGCCUCUCAGUAAUCAGAGGUUAACUAUUUAAACAUGGUUGAAGACACAAAGUGGACAGUGGAGUGUGGGUGCUUGCUAGUGACACGGACAGCCGCCGCGGAGCAAUCUUUGCCUAACGUCACCUCGUGUUAAGGAGUAGCUGGCUGGGGAGUGAUUGUGUUAAGAUAUGGAGAAACAGACCAAAGGAACAGGAGGAGGAGGAGGAGGA